CCCGCUUGACCUCUCACGCAAUUUCCCUUCACCCAUCUCCUCCUCCCUCCGCAGAUGACAACUCCUCCUCCCUCACAUUCGAGACUGUUGCCACUCUCACCAUCACCGGUCCGCCAUCACCGCUCUCACCGUACCGCUCCGCUGUCGUCGCUCUGCUCCUCCGCCGGUUCGCCAACGCCAUAGUCGCCGCUCAAGUUGUUGACCAUGAGACCAAGAUGAAAAGGAAAAGGUUCGGCACAACUUGCCCUUGUUGAUCCCAUGUCCAAAAUUGUUUCAAAGUUGCAAAGCUGCUUGCAGAAUCCAAAAGUUGUGCAUCACUGAGCAAUGAAGUUGUUCUUUGUGAAGCCGAACCAGAACAGGCAGAACUGCUAAACCGAGCGGCAUGCUUUGGCCGUUCAGUGGCAACAGUUACAAAAGGCAGGCAGUGGUUUCAGUUGAGACUAGAAGAGGCUUUCUAUCUGAGUAAUGCACUCAACUGUCUUACAGUUGUCGGAGAAGAUGGAAGUCCUAAAGAUCCUCAAAAUCUUGGAAAAUGUAUGAAAGAUAAGCAGAGCAUGUUUCCAAUGAUGUACAAGGCAUAUUCACAUCUCAGGAUGUUUCCAAUGAUUUUCAUUUUCGUGAUCUCCCACUUCAUUAGUUAUCAACAUUGUAAACCUAUGUCCAGAAGAUCUCCAAUCUUUUAAAUUCAUCUAAUUGGAAAUCACACCGUGGAAUUCAUUUCCUUGCA
Molecule: long non-coding RNA, 727 nt
Organism: Nymphaea colorata (pocket water lily)
Lineage: Eukaryota; Viridiplantae; Streptophyta; Magnoliopsida; Nymphaeales; Nymphaeaceae
Exons: 2
Source: RefSeq, a predicted model, not a curated record